Long non-coding RNA from Gadus macrocephalus (Pacific cod), 1414 nucleotides. RefSeq lists it as uncharacterized. NCBI's taxonomy places the organism in Eukaryota, Metazoa, Chordata, Actinopteri, Gadiformes, Gadidae. The record is from RefSeq and is a predicted model, not a curated record. The transcript has 2 exons.
GAUAAAAUAAUGCCAGCAGUUAUUUUUUAACUGAAAAUUAGCACCCUUUUUUUUUUGCUUCAGAACAACAAGAUUUUUUGGCAUCAGAAGUUUUAUAAAAAUGUAUGGGUCCCUGAAGGUGAGACAACAUAGUUUAGUGCUCCCGAAAUAGUGGUCUGUUUCUCAUAGUAUUCGACUAGUACAUGUUGUACUUGUUGAUUUUUUUGCAUCAAAAGUUUUAUAAAAAGGUAUGUUGAUACAAUUUAUAAAUUGUAUGGGUCCAUGAAAGUGAGGCGACAUCAUGUUGUACCAAUGUGUUUCAGUAACAUAUUCAGGAAAAUAUGGUUAUUUUUGAGUGAAACUUAAACAAAAUAAAUUUAAUAUACCUCAAUUUUGUUAUUCGAGUUCACAACCAUUGAUUAUUCCUUCAUCCAAACAGUCUUUUUUCAUUUCAUCACUUUAGUGGUUCAGAACUGCAUUAUUUAGCUGACACCGCCAGCUAUCGGCUUAGACAUACAACAGCAUAGUAACUAAGAAAAUAAAAAUAAAAUCUUGCACAGGACUUUAUAUACUUCAUAUACCCCUGUGGCUGCCUGGGGUUGAGCCCCCCCAAAAGUCAGAACCUAGACUCGCCCCUGGUUGCCAUUAUUGACUCUAGAUCCCUAAAACGUUUUCCAUAUGCAUGGGCUCUUUAUGGUCUUACUGCAACCUUAUGUUUUGAAAAAUAUGUCUCUACUUAUUUCUAAGAAAUUUCUUUUUAGCAAAAAUGUCAAUAUACAUUUUUUUUAGCAACAUUUUCAGUAGCGUCGCCAUUAUUGACUCUAGAGCCCCAACACUUGUUCAAUAGAGGCAUGGCCUAUUUAUGCUCGAGGCACAGACCUUUUCGAUUGUUGUAGUAUUUGGGUUAUGGGAUUUUAAUGUAUAGGGUGGUUGUUGAUAUAAAUAUUUUUUGUUAAAUAAAUGUAAAUAAUGUUUUUAAAGAUUAUACUUACACAUAGAAACCUCCCGGCAGGGUGCGCUUUGCGAGCACACAAAAAAAAUUGCACGCGAAAAACAUUACAUUUCACCUCCGCUGCUGCAACUCCAUCCUAGGGGAAACACUGUAGUUUUGAGAACCAAAAUUAACUCUCUCAGGUAGAAAGCCUAGUGUACAGUAUGUUCAUAUAAUUUAACCCAAGGUACUAUCAAGGAUGCAGUUUUUUUUUACACAUGACCACUAUAAAUACCUCAAGUUAUUAAUACAGAACCUGCCAAGACAAUGUUGAUUUAAUACGACCUCAUACCUUCUGAAUUCAAAACAAAGUACUUCCGUUUCCCUACAACCCAUAUCAGACACAAUGGGUGCCGACAUGACAUGCUCGUCCCUUCUGUGGAUACACUUUUGGCAUGUCACACAGAAUUUCCUAUCUAAUAAUCUAUUGUGGUGCUGUUCCUU